ACGAAGGGUGCAAGCGUUACUCGGAAUUACUGGGCGUAAAGCGUGCGUAGGUGGUUUGUUAAGUCUGAUGUGAAAGCCCUGGGCUCAACCUGGGAACUGCAUUGGAAACUGGCUUACUAGAGUGCGGUAGAGGGGUGUGGAAUUCCGCGUGUAGCAGUGAAAUGCGUAGAGAUGCGGAGGAACACCGAUGGCGAAGGCAGCCCCCUGGGCUGACACUGACGCUCAGGCACGAAAGCGUGGGGAGCAAACAGGA
Molecule: ribosomal RNA, 253 nt
Filed under: uncultured prokaryote
Description: partial 16S ribosomal RNA
Rfam family: Bacterial small subunit ribosomal RNA
Source: RNAcentral